GGCAAAUGAUGAUGGUUGCGUUCUGAAUAUACCUGCAGUCUUCUGGUCUGAAAAUUGUUCAUAAUCUUGGUCGAUGUCUUGAAAACAGGCAUUGGCUGUAAAGGGGGACAAACAACAAUGACACCACCUCAUUAGAUGGCAGCGAGUCACAAGCAGCAUCGCUGUGGUUAAGAGGAGGUGCAACAGUAUCUAGGAAGUGCUCAUAAAGAACCCUGGGUUCUAAAUGGAUGCUUUCUAAUCACAGACAGAAAUAAACUGCUGGUCUCAUCUGAAUGAAAUUUUAGUAAUCUGAUGCCA
Molecule: small nucleolar RNA, 297 nt
Organism: Rhopilema esculentum
Lineage: Eukaryota; Metazoa; Cnidaria; Scyphozoa; Rhizostomeae; Rhizostomatidae
Source: RefSeq, a predicted model, not a curated record